AUACUCGCAGGCCACAUCAGCUGCUGCAUCCUCUGCUCGCCUACUCAGCUACUCUGCUCUGCCACUGCAGCUCUUCUCGCCCACGUCAACCUGAGCUCCUUCGCUUCUCCACGCAAUCCAUCACAGCUCAUCCCCCACAACCCCAGCUCAAAUCGCUGACAAGACCCCCCGCCGCCUCGAUCUCUACGACUCCUCCGCAUCCGUGUCACUCACCUCCUCCCCCUCUCACCGGCGGCAGCCUGGUUCUCGUCGAUCCGGGAGGGCGAGCGCUCUCCGCGCCUGCCGCCUGGGCCAGUGGCAGUCCUUUACUGCCCUCGGGCUCCGGGCCCCAUCGGUUUCUGGGCGGGGGGCACAAGUGUAAAACGGAAGCAAGGUCGCCGGCUGCCGAGACGGCGGGCUGGAAGUUACCCUGCUGCCCUCCCCCGCGUGGGCCACCGGCGGAGGAGCGCCGUGUCGUCUUGGGCAGGGGCAGGAGGGUAAAUUCAACGCACCGCGCUCGCGCGGGAAAUCCGGAGGGGGCGGGUGGUACUUGUGUAUCACCCAGCUUUGUUUCGUCCCAGCGCUGCUCUGCCCUGCGGCUCUGCCCCUCCCCCCUUUUCACCCCCCUCCCCCGCGGGACCUCGGGGCCGUGGGUCUGCGGGGGUUAGGGUUUCGUGCUCGCCUCGCCCAGCUUCGGUCGGGGUCGCCGUCGCUGUCCGCUCAGAUGCUGCCGCCUGCUGCUUCUGCUGGGACGCGCCUCUCGCCCCCGCUCCGUAGCUAGCGCGUCGUCGUCCGGGAUCGAUCUGAGCGCGCGCGCCCUGUCGCCCCGCGCUCCGAUCAAGUCCGGCGCCUCGUGAUCCCCAUCGCGCGCGGCUCGAUCGCGCCCCCAGGAUGCGAGCGGUUUGAAGGUUCUUACAAUGAGAAUCAUGCAGUUUUCCGACUUCGCAUCCUGGACUGUUUCUCGUGUUCCUCUUGGAUUGCUGAAGGGCAAAGCCAUGGAGAGUGGAACCAACGCCAGUCAUGCUAGGGAAAGGAACUACGAGGUCAUGGAAGAAUUCCUCAGUUCAACCACCCCGAUCCUUGCACAUACUGCUCUCCUCUUGAGCUUGGAGAAGAUAACCUGAGGAUCUCCUACCUCAGGCCAAGCCCCCCAGCGCAGCGGCCCCAUCGUAAGAGGGGUUAUUCGUCUGCACGUGCCCAUCAACAACUCCUGAAACUAUUCUCCACACUAACACUGAUGAACUCAUCCGGGUGGUUCUCCAUCAAGUUGAGCUCUAGUGAUAGCUAACUAUAUAUAGUACGCCUCUACCACCCUCAGUUUCAUAGCGCCCUCUAUUUUGUUCUGCUCGGCCUCUAAGGUGAACUACUGCCCCAAGUUUAUGCUUGUGUGCUCAAGAUGAGCGUUGUGCCAUGUGUUUUUGGUGCGAAUGUAUUGCAGGGUAGACCAAUUUGUAGACUGGAGAUCCGUGGACUCGAUGCUUAUUAAAUCCGUUAUGUUAUGUAAACCUGAAUCAUUGUUGUGUCACUAAUUAUGCAAUACAAUUCUGAUGGGGUGAUCUUAAUGGGAAAUGCUCUUUCCUAUGGGAUUUCCUUUUCGGAUGACGGCGA
Molecule: long non-coding RNA, 1587 nt
Organism: Setaria italica (foxtail millet)
Lineage: Eukaryota; Viridiplantae; Streptophyta; Magnoliopsida; Poales; Poaceae
Exons: 3
Source: RefSeq, a predicted model, not a curated record